RNAcentral lists this ribosomal RNA (542 nucleotides) under uncultured bacterium. Its description in RNAcentral is "bacterial SSU rRNA". It matches the Rfam family "Bacterial small subunit ribosomal RNA", at positions 1 to 526 of the family's 1533-position model. The record is from RNAcentral.
AUUGAGUUUGAUCCUGGCUCAGGACGAACGCUGGCGGCGUGCCUAAUACAUGCAAGUCGAGCGGACUUUUUAAAAGCUUGCUUUUAAAAAGUUAGCGGCGGACGGGUGAGUAACACGUGGGCAACCUGCCUUACAGACUGGGAUAACUCCGGGAAACCGGAGCUAAUACCGGAUGACCAAUUGGACCGCAUGGUCCGAUUGUAAAAGUUGGGAGCAAUCCUAACACUGUGAGAUGGGCCCGCGGCGCAUUAGCUAGUUGGUGGGGUAACGGCCUACCAAGGCGACGAUGCGUAGCCGACCUGAGAGGGUGAUCGGCCACACUGGAACUGAGACACGGUCCAGACUCCUACGGGAGGCAGCAGUAGGGAAUCAUCCGCAAUGGGCGAAAGCCUGACGGUGCAACGCCGCGUGAACGAUGAAGGUCUUCGGAUUGUAAAGUUCUGUUGUUAGGGAAGAACAAGUACCGUUCGAAUAGGGCGGUACCUUGACGGUACCUGACCAGAAAGCCCCGGCUAACUACGUGCCAGCAGCCGCGGUAAAAU